RNAcentral lists this ribosomal RNA (301 nucleotides) under uncultured bacterium. RNAcentral describes it as "partial 16S ribosomal RNA". It matches the Rfam family "Bacterial small subunit ribosomal RNA", at positions 509 to 807 of the family's 1533-position model. The record is from RNAcentral.
CAGUAGCCGCGGUAAUACGAAGGGGGCUAGCGUUGCUCGGAAUGACUGAGCGUAAAGGGCGCGUAGGCGGCGGCCAAAGUCAGGCGUGAAAUUCCAGGGCUUAACCUUGGGGCUGCAUUUGAGACGGGUUGUCUAGAGUGGAGGAGAGGGUCGUGGAAUUCCCAGUGUAGAGGUGAAAUUCGUAGAUAUUCGGAGGAACACCAGUGGCGAAGGCGGCUCACUGGACCGACACUGACGCUGAGGCGCGAAAGCGUGGGGAGCGAACAGGAUUAGAUACCCGCGUAGUCCCUGUCUCUUAUAC